GGCCUGGUGACCGAGUGGUUAGGUAGCGGUCUGCAAAACCGCGUACAUCGGUUCAAAUCCGAUCCAGGCCU
Molecule: transfer RNA, 71 nt
Filed under: Patescibacteria group bacterium
Lineage: Bacteria
Also listed under: 3 other names
Description: tRNA-Cys
Rfam family: tRNA
About the family: Transfer RNA (tRNA) molecules are approximately 80 nucleotides in length. Their secondary structure includes four short double-helical elements and three loops (D, anti-codon, and T loops). Further hydrogen bonds mediate the characteristic L-shaped molecular structure. tRNAs have two regions of fundamental functional importance: the anti-codon, which is responsible for specific mRNA codon recognition, and the 3' end, to which the tRNAs corresponding amino acid is attached (by aminoacyl-tRNA synthetases). tRNAs cope with the degeneracy of the genetic code in two manners: having more than one tRNA (with a specific anti-codon) for a particular amino acid; and 'wobble' base-pairing, i.e. permitting non-standard base-pairing at the 3rd anti-codon position.
Source: RNAcentral